UUAACCGAAACCAAAAAAGAGGUAUAUCACUGUUAAUGAUAAAAUUGAGUAUUCUCCGGUUAAA
This 64-nucleotide transfer RNA is filed under the name Eucryptorrhynchus scrobiculatus. RNAcentral's name for it is "tRNA-Asn". The record is from RNAcentral. Lineage: Eukaryota; Metazoa; Arthropoda; Insecta; Coleoptera; Curculionidae.